RNAcentral lists this ribosomal RNA (579 nucleotides) under uncultured bacterium. Its description in RNAcentral is "partial 16S ribosomal RNA". It matches the Rfam family "Bacterial small subunit ribosomal RNA", at positions 355 to 932 of the family's 1533-position model. The record is from RNAcentral.
UGGGGAAUUUUGGACAAUGGGCGAAAGCCUGAUCCAGCAAUGCCGCGUGUGUGAAGAAGGCCUUCGGGUUGUAAACCGCUUUUGUCAGGGAAGAAAUCUUCUGAGUUAAUACCUCGGGAGGAUGACGGUACCUGAAGAAUAAGCACCGGCUAACUACGUGCCAGCAGCCGCGGUAAUACGUAGGGUGCAAGCGUUAAUCGGAAUUACUGGGCGUAAAGCGUGCGCAGGCGGUUUUGUAAGACAGAGGUGAAAUCCCCGGGCUCAACCUGGGAACUGCCUUUGUGACUGCAAGGCUUGAGUGCGGCAGAGGGGGAUGGAAUUCCGCGUGUAGCAGUGAAAUGCGUAGAUAUGCGGAGGAACACCGAUGGCGAAGGCAAUCCCCUGGGCCUGCACUGACGCUCAUGCACGAAAGCGUGGGGAGCAAACAGGAUUAGAUACCCUGGUAGUCCACGCCCUAAACGAUGUCAACUGGUUGUUGGGAAGGUUCCUUCUCAGUAACGUAGCUAACGCGUGAAGUUGACCGCCUGGGGAGUACGGCCGCAAGGUUGAAACUCAAAUGAAUUGACGGGGUCAUAGCUG